UGGGGGAUAUUGCGCAAUGGGGGCAACCCUGACGCAGCAACGCCGCGUGAAGGAUGAAGGUUUUCGGAUUGUAAACUUCUUUUAUUAAGGACGAAACUUGACGGUACUUAAUGAAUAAGCUCCGGCUAACUACGUGCCAGCAGCCGCGGUAAUACGUAGGGAGCAAGCGUUGUCCGGAUUUACUGGGUGUAAAGGGUGCGUAGGGCGGCUUUGCAAGUCAGAUGUGAAAUCUAUGGGCUCAACCCAUAAACUGCAUUUGAAACUGUAGAGCUUGAGUGAAGUAGAGGCAGGCGGAAUUCCCCGUGUAGCGGUGAAAUGCGUAGAGAUGGGGAGGAACACCAGUGGCGAAGGCGGCCUGCUGGGCUUUAACUGACGCUGAGGCACGAAAGCGUGGGUAGCAAACAGGAUUAGAUACCCUGGUAGUCCACGCUGUAAACGAUGAUUACUAGGUGUGGGGGGUCUGACCCCUUCCGUGCCGGAGUUAACACAAUAAGUAAUCCACCUGGGGAGUACGGCCGCAAGGUUGAAACUCAAAGGAAUUGACGGGGGCCCGCACAAGCAGUGGAGUAUGUGGUUUAAUUCGAAGCAACGCGAAGAACCUUACCAGGUCUUGACAUCCAACUAACGAAGUAGAGAUACAUUAGGUGCCCUUCGGGGAAAGUUGAGACAGGUGGUGCAUGGUUGUCGUCAGCUCGUGUCGUGAGAUGUUGGGUUAAGUCCCGCAACGAGCGCAACCCUUGCUAUUAGUUGCUACGCAAGAGCACUCUAAUAGGACUGCCGUUGACAAAACGGAGGAAGGUGGGGACGACGUCAAAUCAUCAUGCCCCUUAUGACCUGGGCUACACACGUACUACAAUGGAUGUUAACAGAGGGAAGCAAGACAGCGAUGUGGAGCAAACCCCUAAAAACAUUCUCAGUUCAGAUUGCAGGCUGCAACCCGCCUGCAUGAAGAUGGAAUUGCUAGUAAUCGCGGAUCAGCAUGCCGCGGUGAAUACGUUCCC
RNAcentral lists this ribosomal RNA (1001 nucleotides) under uncultured bacterium. Its description in RNAcentral is "bacterial SSU rRNA". It matches the Rfam family "Bacterial small subunit ribosomal RNA", at positions 355 to 1375 of the family's 1533-position model. RNAcentral also lists the same sequence under 1 other name. The record is from RNAcentral.